RNAcentral lists this ribosomal RNA (441 nucleotides) under uncultured bacterium. RNAcentral describes it as "partial 16S ribosomal RNA". It matches the Rfam family "Bacterial small subunit ribosomal RNA", at positions 338 to 795 of the family's 1533-position model. The record is from RNAcentral.
CCUACGGGAGGCAGCAGUGGGGAAUAUUGCACAAUGGGGGAAACCCUGAUGCAGCGACGCCGCGUGAGCGAGGAAGUAUUUCGGUAUGUAAAGCUCUAUCAGCAGGGACGAAAAAAGACGGUACCUGACUAAGAAGCCCCGGCUAACUACGUGCCAGCAGCCGCGGGAAUACGUAGGGGGCAAGCGUUAUCCGGAUUUACUGGGUGGAAAGGGAGCGUAGACGGCAAGGCAAGCCAGAAGUGAAAGGGCAGGGCUCAACCCUGUACAUGCUUUUGGAACUGUGGUUCUAGAGUGCAGGAGAGGUAAGUGGAAUUCCUAGUGUAGGGGUGAAAUGCGUAGAUAUUAGGAGGAACACCAGUGGCGAAGGCGGCUUACUGGACUGUAACUGACGUUGAGGCUCGAAAGCGUGGGGAGCAAACAGGAUUAGAUACCCUUGUAGUC